CCUACGGGGGGCUGCAGUGGGGAAUAUUGGACAAUGGGGGGAACCCUGAUCCAGCCAUGCCGCGUGUGUGAAGAAGGCCCUCGGGUUGUAAAGCACUUUCAGUGAGGAAGAACGCCUGGUGGUUAAUACCCAUCAGGAAAGACAUCACUCACAGAAGAAGCACCGGCUAACUCCGUGCCAGCAGCCGCGGUAAUACGGAGGGUGCGAGCGUUAAUCGGAAUUACUGGGCGUAAAGCGCGCGUAGGUGGCUUGAUAAGCCGGUUGUGAAAGCCCCGGGCUCAACCUGGGAACGGCAUCCGGAACUGUCAAGCUAGAGUGCAGGAGAGGAAGGUAGAAUUCCCGGUGUAGCGGUGAAAUGCGUAGAGAGCGGGAGGAAUACCAGUGGCGAAGGCGGCCUUCUGGACUGACACUGACACUGAGGUGCGAAAGCGUGGGUAGCAAACAGGAUUAGAUACCCCUGUAGUC
Molecule: ribosomal RNA, 465 nt
Filed under: Vreelandella stevensii
Lineage: Bacteria; Pseudomonadati; Pseudomonadota; Gammaproteobacteria; Oceanospirillales; Halomonadaceae
Description: partial 16S ribosomal RNA
Rfam family: Bacterial small subunit ribosomal RNA
Source: RNAcentral